Molecule: small nucleolar RNA, 56 nt
Filed under: Sorex araneus (European shrew)
Lineage: Eukaryota; Metazoa; Chordata; Mammalia; Eulipotyphla; Soricidae
Source: RNAcentral
AAAAUUUUCUCACUGGUUGUGUGAUGAAUAAAAUCAAAUCACCAUCUUUCGGCUGA